This 496-nucleotide ribosomal RNA is filed under the name uncultured bacterium. RNAcentral describes it as "partial 16S ribosomal RNA". It matches the Rfam family "Bacterial small subunit ribosomal RNA", at positions 29 to 507 of the family's 1533-position model. The record is from RNAcentral.
AUGCACGCUGGCGGCGUGCCUCAUACCUGCAAGUCGAGCGAACAGACGAGGAGCUUGCUCCUCUGACGUUAGCGGCGGACGGGUGAGUAACACGUGGAUAACCUACCUAUAAGACUGGGAUAACUUCGGGAAACCGGAGCUAAUACCGGAUAAUAUAUUGAACCGCAUGGUUCAAUAGUGAAAGACGGUUUUGCUGUCACUUAUAGAUGGAUCCGCGCCGCAUUAGCUAGUUGGUAAGGUAACGGCUUACCAAGGCAACGAUGCGUAGCCGACCUGAGAGGGUGAUCGGCCACACUGGAACUGAGACGCGGUCCAGACUCCUACGGGAGGCAGCAGUAGGGAAUCUUCCGCAAUGGGCGAAAGCCUGACGGAGCAACGCCGCGUGAGUGAUGAAGGUCUUCGGAUCGUAAAACUCUGUUAUUAGGGAAGAACAAAUGUGUAAGUAACUAUGCACGUCUUGACGGUACCUAAUCAGAAAGCCACGGCUAACUACGUG